UUUAAACAUCUCUGCUGGGAGGUGAAUGGUGAAGCCCAAGCUCAGUGAAGCUGCAGUGUUUAGACUGAGUGUGGUCUGUGAUGUGGCUGCUGGUGCUGGAACCAAGCUGAUUGUCCUCAAAUGAGCUCCUCUUGAGUUACGGUAACUCAAGCAAUUCUGACUUUAUCCUAGAUGCCAGCCCUCAGCUAUUCCUGGAAUUAGAGUCUAGGCUAAGAGUGUCUGUUUUAAUAGAAAAAACAUCUAUAGCAUCUCCAAUUUUUUUUUUCAUUCUAAAGAAAUGUUAAUUUUUCUAAUUUCUGCUGAUUUUUCCCGUGGACCCACUGACUCUCCCACACAUUCUGCCUUAUGAUAGAAGCGCUUUUGUGAUGAAAGAAAGUAAGGCCUAUUCAUGGGAAAAGCUCUGUCUUGCACCACCUUUUGAGGAUGUGAUACCAUGUGGACAUGGGAAGCUGGAAAGAGAAAGGACAGGCAUGGCAUGGAGUUUACUUUGCCAACACUGGUGUCAAUGAAUACCCAGGAACUGCAAAUACUGGUUGGAAACACGUUCUGCUGUCCAGAGGCAUAAUUACAGAAAGCUUGUAGUUGUCUUUAUCACAAAGUUUUAAUUAGCAGGACACAUUAAAUAACCAGCUGAUACAGAUCUUAAUGAAUCAUUUAUAGGCCUACAUCUAGGAUAAUUAUAUGUAGCUGGGCACAUGAAAUCACUUGCAUACGCCUGGGCUUAUGUGAAAUGGAAUAUGCAUUUUCCUCGUGAAAUAAGGGUGAAAGAGAGGGAUGGGACAAAACUGGGGCACCAGCCUGCCUUCCUCAAGCUGUUUUUGCAUGGAGUAUUGCCAACAAAAUAAAUAAAGCUGGCUUCAGGAAGUCUGCCGAGCUCCAGGGUGGGCAUCUUGGGCCAGUCCCCUUUCUUCUGGCACAUUUGUCUCUUCCAUCAUGAUAGGUACCCUAUGGCAUUCAUUUCCCACCUUCACCGCAUGCUGGCCCAUGGGCAGGUGGUCUUCGUCUUACAUCCUUUCAAAGAAUUGUAGGUUGACCUCAAGAGAUCACUGAUUUCAACCCCCCUGCUGCAGCAGGUUCCCUAUGUAGAUCACAGAGGUGGGCAUCCAGAUGAGUCUUGAAUAUCCCCAUUGAAGGAGACUCCACAACCUCCAUGGGCAACCUGUUCCAGUGCUCUGUCACCCUUACGAUACUUAGCUUGUAUAAUUGGGAGCUGUUGUUUUUAUCAAGUGAUAGUUCAACUGCUGUACUAUGUGUGGACUAUGGAAGUGCUGUCCAAUGUUUUUUUGUAUAGUGACUUGGCUUGCUCAACUGGAGCCCCAGAAGAAGCAGAGCCCCUUUAUGACUGAAAGUCAAAAGCAAGGGAUAAACAAACCAUUGCAAGUGUAUAUUUGAAAAGAUUAAGAGCAAAGUAUUACCAACCCAUGCAAUAUUGUAAUCAAAAGUCCUUUAAAAGCGGCGUUGA
Lagopus muta (rock ptarmigan) is the source of this 1462-nucleotide long non-coding RNA. RefSeq lists it as uncharacterized. The transcript is spliced from 3 exons. NCBI's taxonomy places the organism in Eukaryota, Metazoa, Chordata, Aves, Galliformes, Phasianidae. The record is from RefSeq and is a predicted model, not a curated record.